RNAcentral lists this transfer RNA (84 nucleotides) under Felis catus (domestic cat). It matches the Rfam family "tRNA". Rfam says of the family: Transfer RNA (tRNA) molecules are approximately 80 nucleotides in length. Their secondary structure includes four short double-helical elements and three loops (D, anti-codon, and T loops). The record is from Rfam by way of RNAcentral. Lineage: Eukaryota; Metazoa; Chordata; Mammalia; Carnivora; Felidae.
GCUUGAGUGGCUCAGUCAGUUAAGUGUCUGACUUCAGCUCAGCUCAUGAUCUCAUGGUUGUGGGUUCGAGCCCCACAUCGGGCU